This 449-nucleotide ribosomal RNA is filed under the name uncultured bacterium. RNAcentral's name for it is "bacterial SSU rRNA". It matches the Rfam family "Bacterial small subunit ribosomal RNA", at positions 355 to 796 of the family's 1533-position model. The record is from RNAcentral.
UCGAGAAUAAUUCGCAAUGGACGAAAGUCUGACGAUGCGACGCCGUGUGAACGAUGAAGGCCUUCGGGUUGUAAAGUUCUGUCAACUGUGAACAAGGGCAGGCGAUGAAUAGUCGUCUGUUUUGAGUGUAACAGAGGAGGAAGCACCGGCUAACUCCGUGCCAGCAGCUGCGGUAAUACGGAGGGUGCAAGCGUUAGUCGGAAUUAUUGGGCGUAAAGGGUGCGUAGGCGGAGAUGUAAGUCAAACGUGAAAUUCUGGAGCUCAACUCCAGGGCAGCAUUUGAAACUGCAUUUCUAGAGAGAUGGCGGAGAAAAUGGAAUUCCAUGUGUAGCGGUGAAAUGCGUAGAUAUAUGGAAGAACACCUGUGGCGAAAGCGGUUUUCUAGCUUUCAUCUGACGCUGAGGCACGAAAGCAAGGGGAGCAAACAGGAUUAGAUACCCCCGUAGUCC